UUGAAGAAAAGAGCAGCAAAGUUGUCAAAAGCAUUGAGUGAGAAACAAGAAUUUGUUCUCAUUCUGGAUGAUUUAUGGAACUAUUUUCCUCUAAAGGAAGUGGGAAUACUUGCUCGAGAGAAAGGAUGCAAGUUGAUUCUUACAACUCGUAUGUUAGAUGUUUGUCGACAGAUGGAAUGCCAGGAAACAAUAAAAGUGAAGUCUCUGCCCGAAUUUGAAGCUUGGCAAUUGUUCCAGGAUAAGCUAGGAAAACCACUAUCCCUAGAUGUUAUGGAGAUUGCAAAAUCUAUUGCAAGCGAAUG
This 302-nucleotide unclassified non-coding RNA is filed under the name Hevea brasiliensis (rubber tree). The record is from RNAcentral. Lineage: Eukaryota; Viridiplantae; Streptophyta; Magnoliopsida; Malpighiales; Euphorbiaceae.